UACAGAGGGUGCGAGCGUUGUUCGGAAUUAUUGGGCGUAAAGGGUGCGUAGGCGGCUCUAUAAGUCGGGUGUGAAAUCCCACGGCUCAACCGUGGAAGUGCAUUCGAAACUGCAGAGCUUGAAUAUGGUAGAGGGUAGUAGAAUUCCUGGUGUAGUGGUGAAAUACGUAGAUAUCAGGAGGAAUACCGGUGGCGAAGGCGGCUACCUGGACCAAUAUUGACGCUGAGGAACGAAAGUGCGGGGAUCAAACAGG
RNAcentral lists this ribosomal RNA (253 nucleotides) under uncultured bacterium. RNAcentral's name for it is "partial 16S ribosomal RNA". It matches the Rfam family "Bacterial small subunit ribosomal RNA", at positions 524 to 776 of the family's 1533-position model. The record is from RNAcentral.